Molecule: ribosomal RNA, 497 nt
Filed under: uncultured bacterium
Lineage: Bacteria
Description: partial 16S ribosomal RNA
Rfam family: Bacterial small subunit ribosomal RNA
Source: RNAcentral
GAUGAACGCUGGCGGCGUGCCUAAUACAUGCAAGUCGAGCGAACGGACGAGAAGCUUGCUUCUCUGAUGUUAGCGGCGGACGGGUGAGUAACACGUGGAUAACCUACCUAUAAGACUGGGAUAACUUCGGGGAACCGGAGCUAAUACCGGAUGAUAUUUUGAACCGCAUGGUUCAAAAGUGAAAGACGGUCUUGCUGUCACUUAUAGAUGGAUCCGCGCUGCAUUAGCUAGUUGGUAAGGUAAUGGCUUACCAAGGCAACGAUGCAUAGCCGACCUGAGAGGGUGAUCGGCCACACUGGAACUGAGACACGGUCCAGACUCCUACGGGAGGCAGCAGUAGGGAAUCUUCCGCAAUGGGCGAAAGCCUGACGGAGCAACGCCGCGUGAGUGAUGAAGGUCUUCGGAUCGUAAAACUCUGUUAUUAGGGAAGAACAUAUGUGUAAGUAACUGUGCACAUCUUGACGGUACCUAAUCAGAAAGCCACGGCUAACUACGUG